UCUAUGGUAGAGGUAACAGUUGAAUUGAUCACUGUCGAAACGAGAAUCUCAAAGGCCCCGCCUUUAAAGUCUGUAAAUAUAAUUUACUCGGCCUUUCCGCGAUGAUGCUUUUAUAAAAAAGAAAUAGUAGAUUCACGAGACACCAGUGUUGCAAUAAUGGAAACAAGUAAAAUUAUUUGUCUCUUCGCGAUAUUGUCGCAAGCGGCGGCUCUAUUGACAUCACCGCCGCGAAUCGUCAAGCAGCCGACGGUGGAGGAGCUGCUGUUCCAGGUGGCGCAGCCUGGAGAGGUCGACAAACCUUUUAUCAUUGAAUGUGAAGCUGAAGGCGAGCCAGCACCCAAGUAUAGGUGGAUCAAGAACGGCAAGCCCUUUGAAUAUACGAGCUACGACAAUCGAAUCUCCCAGCAACCAGGUCGUGGUACGCUGGUCGUUAGUAAACCGCGCGACGAGGAUCUCGGCCAGUACCAAUGUUUCGCUUACAACGAAUGGGGAACAGCCACCUCGAAUUCGGUGUAUGUGAGGAAAGCGGAGCUCAACUCCUUCAAAGAGACCGAUGGCCCGCAACAAACAAUCACUGCUCAGGAAGGGCAUCCAUUCAAUCUUACUUGCGCGCCUCCUGAUGGUCAUCCAAGUCCAAAUGUGUACUGGAUGUUGCAAGGCGAACAAGGGCAGCUCAAGACGAUAAACAAUUCGCGUAUGACAUUAGAUCCUGAAGGAAACCUGUGGUUCUCGAACGUAACACGGUUCGACGCGAGCGUUGACUACGCCUAUACGUGUGCCGCAAAAUCGGUAUUCAGAAACGAGUAUAAGUUAGGCAACAAAGUGUACUUGCAAGUUGAACAAACUGGUAUAUCUCCGACAGCGAACAAGUAUCCUCCUGUCAGACAAUAUACGACCAGAAGAGUGGAGAAAGCAUGGCGAGGCAAGAAAGUGGAGCUGUAUUGCAUUUAUGGCGGGACGCCGUUGCCUCAAGUGGUUUGGAAGAAAGAAGGACGGACGAUACUAUCUUCACAGCGGAUAACUCAAGACAAUUAUGGAAAAACUUUAGUAAUUAAACGAGCUGGUUACGAAGAUCAGGGAACGUAUACAUGCGAAGUCAGCAACGGCGUUGGUACUGCCCAGACGUACUCCAUACAGUUGAACGUUGAAGCCGCUCCUUUCUUCAUCGAAGAGCCGCAAUUCCAGAACCUCGCCGAAGGGGAGACAGCGAUUAUAAAUUGUAAAGCUGGCGGUACCCCAGAGCCGCAGAUAGCUUGGGUCCACAACGGUAAACCGAUAGAGCAAGCGGAAUCGAACUCUAGACGACAGGUCACGUCCAAUUCGAUCAUAAUCACGGAUCUGGUUAAGAAAGAUACCGGCAACUACGGUUGUAACGCGACCAACUCGAACGGAUACGUUUAUAAGGACGUCUACAUUAAUGUACAAUCCAUACCGCCGGAAAUCAAGGAGGGUCCAGAAAACCUUACCAAAGUGGACGGUUCGGAAGCGGUUCUCAAAUGUCGCGUGUUCGGCGCGCCCAAGCCAAUCGUCAAAUGGAUGAGAGACGAUGUAGACGUCACUGGUGGAAAGUACAAUAUAACCUCGGAGGGUGACCUCGUGAUCAGAGACGUAUCAUACACCGACAUGGGCACCUACCAGUGCUACGCUAAGAACAAGUUUGGAGAAAAGUCCGCAUUUGGAUCGCUUGUUGUUAAAAAACGCACGGUCAUCACCGACAAACCCGAGCACUACGAGGUCGCGGCGGGCUCCUCUGCGACCUUCCGCUGCAACGCCAACGCUGACGACUCGUUGAAACUGGAGAUCAUUUGGCUCAACGACGGAGAGCCGAUCGAUUUCGAGAACCAACCGAGAUUCCGAAUGACCAACGACUACUCGCUCCUCAUAUCCGACACGACAGAGCUAGAUUCCGGGGAGUACACCUGCAUCGCGAGGACGGCCAUCGACGAGGCGCGCGCUCAGGCGACGUUGACCGUUCAAGACAAGCCCAACCCGCCGGCGCUGGACGGCGUGGAGUGCCACGAGAAGCUGGCCAAGCUGCGCUGGCACUCGAUGGGCGACAACCGCGCGCCCAUCCUGCGCUUCUCCAUCCAGUACAACACCAGCUUCACGCCCGACAGCUGGGACCUGGCCAGCGACAGCGUGCCCGCCAUCGACACGUCGUGGGCCGUGGAGCUGAGCCCGUGGGCCAACUACACGUUCCGCGUGCUGGCGUGGAACAAGAUCGGGCCGUCCGCGCCGUCCGCGCACUCCGACGUGUGCGCCACGCGCGCCGACGUGCCGCACAAGAACCCCGACCGCGUCGAGGGCGAGGGCAGCCAGCCCACCAACAUGGUCAUCUCGUGGUCGAAAAUGCCGCAAAUCGAGCACAACGGGCCCGGCUUCUACUAUCUGGUAUCUUGGAGACGAAACAUCACGGGGCAGACCUGGACCGAGGAGCAGGUUAGGAAUUGGCAGCAGACUGAACUUGUAGUGCCUAAUACGCCCACCUUCCAGCCGUACAAGAUCAAGGUAAUUGCUGUCAAUUCCAAAGGAACUUCGAAUGUCGCUCCAGUAGAAGUGAUUGGAUGGUCAGGAGAAGAUACUCCACUACAGGCACCAUUAAACUUCACCCUUGUUCAAGUAACCACAGGCACUACCGCAGUGUUAAGUUGGAAUCCAGUGUCCCCUGAGUCAGUCCGAGGACACUUUAAAGGAUACAAAAUUCAAACUUGGUCAGAUGGGGAAGAAGACCGACCAAAAGAAAUCUUGGUUAAAGCCGACGCGUCCAGUGCUCUAGUCUCUAAAUUUAAACCGUUCAAGAAAAAUAAUGCAAGGAUCCUAGUCUAUAACGGAAGAUUUAACGGACCCCCCAGCGAAACUCUUAGUUUCGUAACUCCGGAAGGUAAACCUGGUUCGGUCCGAUCAUUUGAAGUUUAUCCAAUCGGAUCUUCAGCUAUGCUCCUAAAAUGGGACAAACCGUUGGACGAAAACGGUAUACUGACAGGAUACAAGAUCUACUACCAGAAAGUUACCGGAACAACUCUUGGGCCAUUGCAAGAAAGAAAAAAGGAGAUCGAUCCCAAAUUUGAUCGCGCAAAGUUGGCUGGACUAGAACCGAACACGAAGUACAGAAUUGAAAUACGCGCGAAGACAAAGGCAGGAGAAGGAGACAAGUAUUAUGUAGAGCAAACCACCAAGGCCAUGGUCAACGCGGUGCCAGACAUACCAGUGUUCGAGACCAGUACAUUACCCGCCAAGGAGGGAACGGCUCACAUUCUGGUCAGGUGGAUACCGUCCCUGGAAGGUCACGUCGGGACUCAUUUCGUCGCCUGGUAUAGACUGAAGGGUCAUCCGGACUGGUUGCAGAGCAACGAAGUCACGGAGGAAGACUACGUAAUCCUGACGGGCCUGGAGCCGGGACAGGAGUACGAGGUGAAGAUCACCGCUCACGACGGAGAAUACUUCAGCACCAGCGAAGUCAAAGUCGUCGAUACCAACAUCGACCCGCGCGUGCGGCCGCGCGAGGAGGCCACGGCGACGGCGGGCUGGUUCAUCGGCGUCAUGGUGGCGCUCGCCUUCCUGCUGCUGGUGCUCGUGCUCGUGUGCGUGGCGCGGCGCAACCGCGGCGGCAAGUACGACGUGCACGACCGCGAGCUGGCGCACGGCCGCGCCGACUGCCCCGACGCCGCCUUCCACGAGUACACGCACCCACUUGACAACAAAUCGCGGCAUUCGAUGAGCAGCGGCACUAAGCCGGGCCCCGAGAGCGAUACCGACUCCAUGGCUGAGUAUGGCGAGGGCGAGACAGCGGGCAUGAACGAGGACGGUUCGUUCAUCGGCCAGUACGGGCGGAAACGACGCCCGCCCACUUCCGGUCAGCCUGACUCGGCCUCGCAGGCCUUCGCUACGCUCGUGUAACCCCGCCUCCACCCCUCCCUCCCCGCACCCACACUUAGGCUGCACAAAGCUGAUAUACGUUCUGUCCGCUAGACGUGUCUUAACGAAGUGCCAUUGCAUCACAAUAAGAACCAAUCGACCAAUCACAGCGAAGCGAGAUCUCUCAUCUGAUCGGCCCAUUCAAUAAAUUUACACACUAUUUUAUUCUAUUUGGUUGUGUUUAGAAUCUCUUUAAAAUUCGAAUUUCUUUGUUUUUAUUAAUAAUACAAGGACGUUUGACCUUUAUUGUACUAUUUUAAAAAUAGUCGCAGUAAAGGUCGUUCCAUACCUUCAACAAUUGCAAGGCGUCUUUUCUACUUAUGCGUUUAGGUUAGGUGUUAAGUACACAGUAGUUGUAAGCUAAUUAGGUUGUAAAAAAAAUAUUAUAGACAGAGUGAAUUGCAGUGAAUGUUUCUAAUUAUUAUAUAGUAUUUUUUAUUAAGCACGAGCGUUAUGUUUUUUAGUUUGCAUUUAUUGUAAGAAUAGAAUAGAUAAACGUAUCCAUAUUUCCGUCCUUGUCUGUUCAUCCUUUAUCUCCUGCACGCGCCACCAUUUUUAUGUUUUCUAAAGAGGUCGCUUCACGGAGGACGGCUCGUUCAUCGGGCAGUACGUGCCGGGCGCGCGCGUGUUGCCGCCCGCGCCGCCCGCGCCGCCCGCCGCGCAGCCGCCCACGUACGUGUAGGCGCCGCCCGCCUGCUGCCGGCUCCGAUCGAGAUUGUGUCGACAGUGUGCUCGCUGGCUACAUCGAUCCAAUCGAAAUCCGAACCGAUUGCUCCGACGCGAUGUUAGAAUCGUAGCGGGGGGUGCGAUGAAAUGUCAACAUUUAAAUUCAAAUACUGCCACCGUUGAAUUCGAUUUUCAUCCCGGCCCCAUAUCGUUUGUGUCUAUUUAGUUUAAAUUUAUUAGUUCGAAGGAGCCGCUAGUUUAAGCUUAAGAUGAGCCCCUCGUAGCGACGGCCCCGGUCGGUGUCGGUGAUGACGGCUAUAAAAAUUAGAUUUACAAAUUUUCCAUUUUAACGUUUGUGUGGAACCCGAAGGAGGCCGAUGUUUUAUUUCAAUGAGGAUACGAUUCGUUUGUUUAAGACUGAUUUUAAGUAACCGUGUAAUAUUAUAGUCCUCAUAACCUGACACUAGGUCCGAAUGUGUAAACAUCGAAGUAUCUCUGUCGCCGUAUAAGUAAGUUUCAAAUUUCAAAAAGAAAUUUACACACAUUCGACUGAGGUAAUACAGGCUCGCAUAGAAUGUAGAAGACGGUUCUGGCUCGAUAUCAAUUACUCGUAUAAUAAGUGCGGUAGAUCGCGAAGACUUGGAUAUAAGAAAUGCUAUUUUUGUCACAGAUAAUAUGGUAUUUGAUUAAAUUUAAAGAAAAUGAAUUGCUCUGAAUGCCGGUGGUCAGAUUCGCUGAUGAUAUCUGGAAUACUCUAUUUAUACAAAUUGCGUAAAUCUUAUUACAAUGUCACAAGGCUUAAAAUUGAAAAAAAAAACUUAAAUAAAUAGAAAACCUGGCACCAUCCUAUCACGUUUAUUUUUUAUAUAAAAUGCAUAUCUUUCUAUACACUUGUCUACAAAAUUGCUAGGACCACGAUGAAAAUUAUAUUUUAUUACUAUUUAAGAUUGAAAUUAUCAAUUCUGAUAUUUAUUCUUCUAUAUAGAGCAAUUGUAUUCGCUUCUUGCAACUUUUUGUAAUUUCUUUAGCAUUACAUUAUAUACAUAAGUCCACCUUUCACCGUUAACUCAUACUAUAUCAAGCAACGAUAAUAUAGUAACGAUCGAAAAGUUUCCUUUUAAUUCUUUAAAAGUAAUAUAUUGUAAAGAAAAUAGAGCAAUUACUCUUUAUAUUAUAAAUAUAUUUUCCUAUAAAGAAUGUAUCGAGUAUUUUUGUAAGCGAGCGGUUUGACCACCGGACGACGUUGGUGCUUUGCGGAGGUGAUCGGAGACGUUUGUAUUCGGUGUUGUGAUCGUAUGAAAGGUAGAUAAGACGCACCGUUUGUUUGUCUGUCAGUGUCGCGGCAACUUGCUCAGCUUUCAUUGAAGGAACGAGAGACGAAACGAAUUGAAGUAACCGCCUUGUAAAUCGCAUUACUGUAACGAUAUUAAAAAAAAAUCUCAAACUACCGCUCUCUUUAGAUAAAAACUAAUUAAAUAUAAUAAAACAAUAAAAAUGGCCAUAAUUUGAUUGUCGCUGAAACGUAAAUCGUCAUAAUUUUUUCCCACUAGUAAAUGUUAAGGCUUUUUAUCUCCCAAUUUAAUAUUUAUCUGCCUUAACGACGCACCUUACAAAUGUUAUGACAAGUUGAUGUUUCCAGUUUUAAUCCUUGACGUGAUACAGACGAGUGCUUAACCAGUGUUGCCAUGCACCAAUACUUUGUUUGGGAAUAUGUAUGUGGCAAAUUUGUCGAUCCCAUCUCUCAAAUGUAUCUCGUGUUAGUAUUAAGAGUCUCGUGUUAUCUAAUGUUAGACAGCUAAGGCAUUCGCUUGUCGCUCUACUUUAAUAACUAUACAUAUACUUUGCAUUAUUUAUUUUUCCCCUCAAUAAAAUACACUGUCGAGUUACCCAAUUGGAUACUCUUUAUCGUUUAUGCAAUGUUUAAAUAAUCGAGUUCGGUUGACAGUGGAUAUAAAAUGUUUAUUUAUAUAUUUAAUAUUUAUUUAUGCGCCUGAAAGGUGUCGGGUCCUAAAAUACAUUCCACGCGGUCAAACCAAGUUGAUUUUGUGAAAAUAUCCUUUAUUUGUCAAACGUAAUUUGUCACACAGAUUUAAUCUGGACAAUGUUUUUAAAACUAGACCGAUGUUGACCGAAGCGUACGAUAGAAUAACAUUAAGGUCAUGAUUUUUAACUAACUGAUGUUUUAUAUAUUUAUAAUUGCAACACUAAUAUUGUUCUGAUUUUGAGCUUACUGUGUAACGAUUGGUACCUUAUAACAUUGCAUUAUUAUAUUUGAAAGCACUGUUAUCUUAGCCCCUUUAAGUUGUUUGUUAAGGAGUCUUUAUCAUGUCUAUUGUCUUGUAAGAAUUUAAUAUAUAUAUUAAUUAAUAUAGUAGGAAUGCCUUGUUCGAUUCGCGUCUGUUUUCGUCGCUUUUUUUAUUAAACCGUGCUGUUAAAUAAAUGAUAGAUUCUCUCUUGGAAUAAUUGUUAACAUUGAAAAUGACAAAAUGACGUUAAAUUGUUGACUCACUAAAAAUUACGGUGAUAUAUAUCACUGCCUUUCCCCUAAGAAUAUUAGAGUUUUAAUAUGUGUUCAUUUUACAUUUUACCUCUUUAACAAAUCCGUUAGUCGAUACUUGCCUUAUAACUGUGGAGGAGAACCAUUAUCGAGUUAGAGAAAAUAGAUAGAUAAUAAUCUUUCAUACAUACCCCUCUCUCUUGUACGACGCAUGCACAAUAUAUGCAUUUAUAAUGUUUCUGAUGUCACAAAAGUGUACCAGUUUUGUAUUCCGAAUUAUUAGUUUACAUGAUAAACCUUCGUCUAUUAUAUGUUGCGUUUGAAUAAAUGUGCAGUAAUAUUAUUAAAUUGACCGUAAUUGUAUUCAAAAUUUCGACGGAAUGUAUAAAUUUAAACUUGUAACAGUUGAAAUAGAAGAGUGUAUUUCUCGAAUAUGUCUUAGUAAAUUUAAGUAUUUGUAUACAGAGUUAUAAUAAAGACGCCUUCUUUAAAUUACACGUGAUGGAGUUUUUACUUCCGAUUUAUUAAAAUAAUAUAGAUGCAGAUAUACUGUACGGAGUGUUUCAGAAUGUGUCUCUGUUAUGACUUAUUUUAGCUUUUGAAAUGUUUUCAAAAUAUUGUUCGACUUUAAUUGCAUUUAAAGUUAUUCAUGACAAAUUGUAAAUGUUACUGCCUAGAUGUAAUUGGCACCAUGGCAAACAUUUUGGUUGAAUAAUUAAUAAUUAACUGUUUAUUUCGCAUUAAGUGACGGUAAUUUAUUGUAACUACGAUGGAUAUUUUUUUAUGUUGCAUAGAAAAUAAAUUUUAAGAAAUUA
RNA transcript from Nymphalis io (European peacock), 7893 nucleotides. It is a transcript of the gene named neuroglian, with no coding region annotated. Lineage: Eukaryota; Metazoa; Arthropoda; Insecta; Lepidoptera; Nymphalidae. The record is from RefSeq and is a predicted model, not a curated record. The transcript is spliced from 16 exons.